UGCAGGAGGAAGACCACAGAGGUGAAGCACCAUUCUCAUCACAUCAGAUCAAGGGUACAUCCUAUCAACAUGACCUACUACUGUUGAUGCUGACCUUGAUCACCUGGCUAAGUCCACCUCAGCCUGGUUAACCAAGUGAUGGAGACUCGGUGGGAAGACAAGAAAGCAGAAAAACAGAUCGACCAAGAAGAGGAGAGGCAGAAGGACAAUGAGGAAAGAGUUGUUUUCAAAAAUAGCAGAGCCCACUUUCUGCACCCUCCAGCGGAUACCUAUCUGGAAACAAAAGGCGGAGUCUGAAAGAGGGGCAAGGACUUGGCUGGCCGGGGACUAUGGGAAAGACUCAAGAGGAGGGACAGAGGUGCCUACACCUCCCUCCGCCCCCUCCUAAAACUUCUUAGCUUCAGAUAACACCCUUUUGUUCUCCUUGUGACUCCACACCCAUGGGGAGAGGGAAUGAGGAAACCUUCGGGGAAGUGCCACCUAUCUGAUGAAGGGAAUCCUCCAGGGAAGCGGUGAGUGUCUUCCAGUGGCUUCUCACCAGACUCACGAUCAGGUCCACACUUCUUAGCAUGGCAUCCAGGAUUCUGCAGAAUCUUGCCUCAGCCUUCCUUGCCAAUCCCCUCUUCUGCUCUCUCUCCCCAGACCCACUGAGCUCUAGCUACAUAGAACUAUUACUAUUUCCCUGAACAUGCAUUUUGACACCUCUGUGACUUCUUUGCAUGUACUGUUUCCUCUGCCUGAAGUGCCUGCUGCGGCAUGUCUUCUUAAAGAACUCCUAUUCACUCUUCAGGACCCUACUAAAAAAUCAGACGCCUCUUCAAAGCCUUGCUUGACUCCCCAGACAGGGUUGGUUGCUCUGUGCUCCAAGGCCUAGCAUUCCUUCCCUUGUUCCUCACCCAGUAGGAUAAUUAUUAGGAUUUGCAUGUUUAUUUUCUUCCUAGUUGCUCCCCCAGGGCAGGGACUGUGUCAUUCAUCUUUGUAAACCUGAUGCCAGGCCCUAAUAAUUACUCAGGCAAUAUUUGUGUAAGGCUAAACACCAUUUCUGCUGGAUUUGGAGUAUUUUUUGAGCAGCAUUAAGAGAAUUUCUGUCACCAUGGACGUCCCCUGGCCCACAGUGACAUCUCUGUAUUAGUACAGCAUCAGUACGGCACUCCUCAGGUAAUUUGACGUCUGAUUGAUUUAUUUUACAUAUUAACCCACUGGGUUUCUGUUACCAUCAUAAGAUGAAGAGACUGAGACGCCAAGAGAUUGAGCAACAUCGUGUUCGAGGUUACAGUACACGCGCGGCAAAGCUGGGACCUGAACCCAGGUGUUCUGGCUGCGAGAUCCACAAGCUCUGACUACACCAGAGAUUCGCAGUAAAUGUCCUUUGACUCUGCAGAUCAGCAUCACCUGGGAACCUGAUAGAAAUGCAGAUUGUUGGGCCCCACCCCAGACCUGCUGAAUCAGACGAGGGUAGGCCCAGCAGUCUGUGCGUUAACCAGCCUUGCAGGGGAUUCCGCUGCACGCUCGAGUUAGAGAACACCAGCCUACACUGUAGCUGCUCCAGCGGCUUCCCUGGAGCCAGAGAAGGGUGCUCCAAGGCCAACUUUCACCCUUAAACAGUCGUGGCAUCUGGGAGGGGCAGGGGUAGCAGGCUGGGGUGGAAGGGAAGAAAACGCCUGGACUGGGAGUUAGAAGCCAGAGUUCUAGUCCCACCAGUUUUGCAGUUAUUGGCUGAGUGAUUCUGAGCACCUCUCUGGGACUCAGUUUUCUCAUCUGUAAAAUGAGAUGUUGAUUAAAUGAUCUCAUCUCUGAUUUCCCUUUACAUUAUGUUGUCCAGCUCUCCUUUGGAAUUUGGUGUCUCUGCCAGGAAUGGAAUGAAGACAGUAUGAGUGCUCAUUUUUAAUGGAUUUUUCCCAUACUUGGAAAUUAAUAGCCCCCAGUUCCAAAUCCUCAGACCAGCUAUCCUCUACCUCCUUCCUUAGGGGCAGAAAGUGAGAGCAAACGUUGGAGUUGACUGGUGAAACCAUUAAGCAAAAAAUAGAAAAGCAUUUGAUGGUGUUGGUUGGGACUUCCCUCCGCUACCUGGGGCUCCUUCAUGUGGGCCUUUUCCCUGAUCCCUCAACAGUCACCUGCUUCCCCACUGUGACUCUGCCAGACCCCUUUGCCUACAGACCAUCUCCCUGUCACCCCAGAACUCGCGUCCUUUCCCUGCUCCUUUCUAUGGGGUUGCCCGAUUCACAGGCUCUUGCUUCCCCAACAUUCUUCAGAGGAGGGAGAGGGGUGAUGUGUCAGGGUGACUUACUGGGCGUGCUAGGGGCUUGGUGGCCUGACGAGGAGCCCCACGGACACACUGAAGCCCUAUCCUACUGGUUUCGUGUGGACCUGAGGGCCCUACCCAGGGCGCACCUCAGAUGAGGUAGGGCUGUACCCACAGGGUACCCGGUGGGCCCAGCAUUGGACUGGCAGCUGGAAAACCUGUCCACAUCGGGCUGGAAAGAAGGAAGAAUGCUUCUUGCCCCUUUGAGAUGAUUAUGAAAAUUUGAGACAAGUAAUGGCAUCGUAAAAGUAGAGCCCUGAAUCAGAAAGGUGGGUAGAAGAAUUUUAACCACUCAGGACCCGGGUGUCAGCAAGAGAACAUGGCUGAACUCUCAAGUCCUCAGCGGCAGUUUUAGAAGUUGGUCAAAGAACCUGUCCCCUUCAGCAAAACCACACAUGCCCGAUAAACAGCCCGAGUGUCUGUCAAAUCAGUAUCACGCUCAGAGAGAGACUUUCGGGAUGGUUUCCAGAGUCCAGGAAAAGCCUUAAAACGCAGGACAGAGGUGUUGCCAGCAGCCUUGGGUUAAAAGCCAAAGAAAGUGGUUAUUAAACAAGGCCCCUGGACGAGCUGGAGCCAGCGUAGACUGGUCAUCAGCUGAAACUCACUGAGGCUGCUCUUCUCAGCUGCAAGUGACCCUCUCGGAGAGGCUGCCUACGUCCUGGAUAGAGCAUCAAUGAAGCUCCACAUUAAUGAAGAAUAUGUCUGCACUCCAAACUUAUCCAACUGUGUACAUUAAAUAUCUUCAGCUUUUGUAUCAAUCAUGUCUCA
Long non-coding RNA from Equus quagga, 3070 nucleotides. RefSeq lists it as uncharacterized. The record is from RefSeq and is a predicted model, not a curated record. NCBI's taxonomy places the organism in Eukaryota, Metazoa, Chordata, Mammalia, Perissodactyla, Equidae. The transcript has 5 exons.